This 434-nucleotide ribosomal RNA is filed under the name Klebsiella aerogenes. Its description in RNAcentral is "bacterial SSU rRNA". It matches the Rfam family "Bacterial small subunit ribosomal RNA", at positions 1 to 433 of the family's 1533-position model. Lineage: Bacteria; Pseudomonadati; Pseudomonadota; Gammaproteobacteria; Enterobacterales; Enterobacteriaceae. The record is from RNAcentral.
AAAUUGAAGAGUUUGAUCAUGGCUCAGAUUGAACGCUGGCGGCAGGCCUAACACAUGCAAGUCGAGCGGUAGCACAGAGAGCUUGCUCUCGGGUGACGAGCGGCGGACGGGUGAGUAAUGUCUGGGAAACUGCCUGAUGGAGGGGGAUAACUACUGGAAACGGUAGCUAAUACCGCAUAACGUCGCAAGACCAAAGUGGGGGACCUUCGGGCCUCAUGCCAUCAGAUGUGCCCAGAUGGGAUUAGCUAGUAGGUGGGGUAAUGGCUCACCUAGGCGACGAUCCCUAGCUGGUCUGAGAGGAUGACCAGCCACACUGGAACUGAGACACGGUCCAGACUCCUACGGGAGGCAGCAGUGGGGAAUAUUGCACAAUGGGCGCAAGCCUGAUGCAGCCAUGCCGCGUGUAUGAAGAAGGCCUUCGGGUUGUAAAGUAC